GACGAACGCUGGCGGCGUGCUUAACACAUGCAAGUCGAGUGGUAAGGCCCUUUCGGGGGUACACGAGCGGCGAACGGGUGAGUAACACGUGGGUGACCUGCCCUCAGCUCUGGGAUAAGCCCGGGAAACUGGGUCUAAUACCGGAUAUGACUUCAUGACGCAUGUUGUGGAGUGGAAAGCCUUGUGCGGCUGAGGAUGGGCCCGCGGCCUAUCAGCUUGUUGGUGGGGUGAGGCCUACCAAGGCGACGACGGGUAGCCGGCCUGAGAGGGCGACCGGCCACACUGGGACUGAGAUACGGCCCAGACUCCUACGGGAGGCAGCAGUGGGGAAUCUUGCGCAAUGGGCGAAAGCCUGACGCAGCGACGCCGCGUGA
This 374-nucleotide ribosomal RNA is filed under the name uncultured bacterium. Its description in RNAcentral is "bacterial SSU rRNA". It matches the Rfam family "Bacterial small subunit ribosomal RNA", at positions 28 to 404 of the family's 1533-position model. The record is from RNAcentral.